This is a non-coding RNA of Pelobates cultripes (western spadefoot toad), 320 nucleotides long. Lineage: Eukaryota; Metazoa; Chordata; Amphibia; Anura; Pelobatidae. The record is from the annotation of a GenBank genome assembly.
CUCUAACCAUGUAACAGAUGAAUCAGGCCGCUAUAUAAUACUACAAGGCUUGAUAGGAACCUCUCCAAUCACUCUAGUUGGGAUCUAUCUCCCAAAUAAACACCAAUGUGGUGCCUUUCGGAGAAUUUUGACGAAAGUUAAGCAAAACUCCAAUGGAACUCUAAUAAUCGGGGGGGACUUUAACAUUUCACUAGACGCCUCUAAGGACAGUACCUCAAACAAAACCCAACAUUUAGCAUCGGCAAGACACCAAAUGCAACAUAUUCUCCAUACCAACCAACUGGUAGACUGUUGGAGGGUCUUUCACCCGACAACAAAAG